Molecule: long non-coding RNA, 897 nt
Organism: Marmota monax (woodchuck)
Lineage: Eukaryota; Metazoa; Chordata; Mammalia; Rodentia; Sciuridae
Exons: 3
Source: RefSeq, a predicted model, not a curated record
AAUGCAGGCCUGUUUCUUUGAAUAGCUGAGUGCAGAUUAGUGGUCUGCCAAUUUCCUGUGGCCUUUCAGACCUGCAAUUUGAGCCCUGUUUGCUCCGGGCCCUUGCACAAUUGGAGACAAUGGGUGACUUCACUCCGGGGCUCUCAGAACCAGGGGAAGUGGCUAAAGCCCUACUUUACAGGCUGUUGUACCAGAAGACCAUUUUCCUGAGGUGGAGCGAGGGAGGAAGGGACGGGGCUUGGCCGCACCCUGAAGCCACCAAGCCUCUUUUUAAAGGACUGGCUACAUUAAAACCUUCAAAUGCCUUAUCCAUCUUUGAUGCCACCACACGGUCUCACACGUCUGGACGCCAUAUUCUGCAUGGCCUGGUGUGGGGCAGAGAUUGACUCCCAGCCUUCUUGACCACAUUCCCAGACCCAAAGGAGGACAAGCCCUUGAACAUCUAUGGUACCUUCUGAGGACUAAGCCAACCCAUGUUUUUUUUUUUUCUAUAGAAUAUACCUUGAGAGUCUUAUGUUACCCAGAGUCAUUAAUUAUGUAAAUUUUCUUUGCUUAGCAAUUAGAAACAGGAUGAAGGAUGAUGGGAGAGAGGGGAUUUUUUUUUUUUUUGAGCAGACAAAAUGAGAAUACUGAGAAAUAACUAAUAUCAAUCCAAAAGAUGUCCUCUGCACUGUGGCAUGAAGGAUCCCUUCACUUUAAGCACAAAAUUGUUCCCAAGAAUAUCGCUGUAUGAUGACAUAGUGUGGUAUUUUAUUUUCAUCAUAACAAUCUUGAAUUUAAAGAGAUUUGUUUUUAUAUUCUGACAUUAAAAUGGCUCUAGAUAGAAUUUAAGAUAAAAAUUUUAAUUCUUUAUGGAGUACAUUUGAGUUAUUUGAAACAUUAGGCUGUGCAUACUGA